GAUGAACGCUGGCGGCGUGCUUAACACAUGCAAGUCGAACGGAAAGGCCUCAGCUUGCUGGGGUACUCGAGUGGCGAACGGGUGAGUAACACGUGGGUGAUCUGCCCUGCACUUUGGGAUAAGCUUGGGAAACUGGGUCUAAUACCGAAUAUGACCACUUCUUGGAUGUUGCGGGGGAAAGCUCUUGCGGUGUGGGAUUAGCCUGCGGCCUAGCAGCUUGUUGGUGGGGUAAUGGCCUACCAAGGCGGCGACGGGUAUCCGGCCUGAGAGGGUGUACAGGCACAUUGGGACUGAGAUACGGCCCAGACUCCUACGGGAGGCAGCAGUGGGGAAUAUUGAACAAUGGGCGCAAGCCUGAUGCAGCGACGCCGCGUGGGGGAUGAAGGCCUUCGGGUUGUAAACUCCUUUCGCUAUCGACGAAGCCAUUUGUGGUGACGGUAGGUAGAUAAGAAGCACCGGCUAACUACGUGCCAGCAGCCGCAGUAA
Molecule: ribosomal RNA, 486 nt
Filed under: uncultured bacterium
Lineage: Bacteria
Description: partial 16S ribosomal RNA
Rfam family: Bacterial small subunit ribosomal RNA
Source: RNAcentral